AUCGGUUCGCUGAAAGGCGAUCAAAAGGGAAUCGGGUGUAAAUCCCGAACAGUCCCGCUGCUGUAAGUGGUUUCACGAGUGAACAUUACGUCACUGAUGUUUUUGGGAAGACGUUCACUCCCUUGACCAUAAGUCAGAAUACCUGCCAUUGCUUCCU
RNAcentral lists this non-coding RNA (157 nucleotides) under uncultured Prevotella sp. The record is from RNAcentral. Lineage: Bacteria; Pseudomonadati; Bacteroidota; Bacteroidia; Bacteroidales; Prevotellaceae.